CCAAAAUGGAUUGCAAUGAAUAGGUGCCUUAGCAUUUAUCAGAUUUGGUCCUCCACUACAUUGUAUCACCCAAUUCUGUAUCACUGCAGAAUUUUCUCUAUUUCCCUGCCUCGUACAUGAACUAACACUUCAAGCAGUAUUGUUGAGACCUCUGAUUCCGCAAAGAAAAAGAAUAACAAAGCUGACUUUGCAGAAAGAAGCAAGGCACAAAAAGAGCCAUAGACUACUUGCUGCGCCAAAUCAGCUUUCCUCUGACUGAGGCACUGUGAAAGUGCAAUGCCCUCACAAACCUU
Oxyura jamaicensis (ruddy duck) is the source of this 293-nucleotide long non-coding RNA. RefSeq lists it as uncharacterized. The record is from RefSeq and is a predicted model, not a curated record. Lineage: Eukaryota; Metazoa; Chordata; Aves; Anseriformes; Anatidae. The transcript has 3 exons.